GUCGCGAAUGAAAAAGGCUUAGCGAAAGCCGCAUUCUUGGAGAGGGAAGCUCCUGGCGUUUCCCGGUGUUCCAUUCUGUGUCUUGAAGGUGACCUCUGACCUCUGACAAAAGCUCUGUCUCGAUUUCGGCCCCGAGCAAGGUAAGAGUUCUAGCUAAGCGCUCAGCUCUUUCAUUUGUCCUCUCGCCCCACACGAGUCUUCUUGAAACGGAGAGGCGACUCCGUUCCCUGGGUUUAGGGGUAGCGCUUUAGUCGGUUACUUUGUUGAACUGCCCACCACUCGAAAACUCGACGGUGUUCUGAGGCUGUUCAGUCACGUGAGGAAUGCGUUCUGGAGGAGGCAGUCACAACUGACAUUCGUUUCAGUUGCUUGCACGACGCGGUGGAUGCCAGGACGCCCGGUGGUUGGUAUCUUUCCUCGUUUUUUGUUAGAUUAGAGCGUGUGGUCGUCCUGGUGUCAAUCACGUGUUUUUCAACCUCAGUAGCAGAAAUAUUUCCGGAUUUAGAUGCGUCACCUACAGAGGUCCAUCUUAACUCGUGCCAAGAUGUGUGAAGACGGACUUUGCCUUAAGAAGUGCCCGUAUCGUCACAACGAAAGGCUGGUGAGGGUACAUCUUUGAUAUGGACUAGACUCCCACAGAGUGUAUGGGAUUACUGCCCCUCAAGUUUGUGUUGUAAAAUAUUCAGUAGUAGACCAUGUUAAGGAAUGUGAAAACCUAUCGUGCAGGUGGAUGCAACCUUCUAACAAAAGGAAACAAAAAAUACGUUCCUUGUUUCCUGCUCCACAGCGCACAUGACCGGAAUGCCGGCAAAGCCAUGCCCCUUCCAGUCUGCUUGAAGUGGAAGAUCUAAUGAUUCGGAUUGCACCGAAAGCUUAUCGAGGGUCGGCGGUACCUUUCCUGUUUGACAAAUCCACAGCAAAGUGGCACUGUAGCUGUGGAAGAGAAUAGCGCUUGUCAUGAGGAAUUCAUCGGAAAUCAAAUAUGGGGCUUUGGAAAGACGUUUUUAAGAAGCAGCGCAGUCUUUUGCUCAGCACUGUCCUGUAGACGCAUAUGAUUGGGCAGAUUCGUGACAUUUUCUCUCAUUCUCUCUAUACGCUGACAACAUUUGAUGUUAUCAUCUGAUGGGUUGUGCCGUAUCAGGAUGUUCCGACGUCCAUUACCCUAUACCGUGACAAUAUUUUCCACAACUUAAAACUCUAUACGCU
Molecule: long non-coding RNA, 1206 nt
Filed under: Toxoplasma gondii VEG
Lineage: Eukaryota; Apicomplexa; Conoidasida; Eucoccidiorida; Sarcocystidae
Source: RNAcentral